Chelonoidis abingdonii (Abingdon island giant tortoise) is the source of this 94-nucleotide non-coding RNA. NCBI's taxonomy places the organism in Eukaryota, Metazoa, Chordata, Testudines, Testudinidae. The record is from RefSeq and is a predicted model, not a curated record.
AUCUCCUCAGCAUAUUUUCCACUACAUGCAUCCAAUUAAGUGCUCUGUAGCCCACGAGAGCUUAUGCUCAAAUAAAUUUGUUAAUCUCUAAGGU